GAUGAACGCUAGCGGCAGGCUUAAUACAUGCAAGUCGAACGGCAGCACAGUAAGAGCUUGCUCUUAUGGGUGGCGAGUGGCGGACGGGUGAGGAAUACAUCGGAAUCUACCUUUUCGUGGGGGAUAACGUAGGGAAACUUACGCUAAUACCGCAUACGACCUUCGGGUGAAAGCAGGGGACCUUCGGGCCUUGCGCGGAU
RNAcentral lists this ribosomal RNA (200 nucleotides) under uncultured bacterium. RNAcentral describes it as "partial 16S ribosomal RNA". It matches the Rfam family "Bacterial small subunit ribosomal RNA", at positions 28 to 222 of the family's 1533-position model. The record is from RNAcentral.